GGAUCCGUGGUGCAUUGGUAGCGCGUCUAACUCCAAAUCAGAAGGUUGUAUGUUUGAUUCAUGUCGAGAUCA
RNAcentral lists this transfer RNA (72 nucleotides) under Ipomoea nil (Japanese morning glory). It matches the Rfam family "tRNA". Rfam says of the family: Transfer RNA (tRNA) molecules are approximately 80 nucleotides in length. Their secondary structure includes four short double-helical elements and three loops (D, anti-codon, and T loops). Further hydrogen bonds mediate the characteristic L-shaped molecular structure. tRNAs have two regions of fundamental functional importance: the anti-codon, which is responsible for specific mRNA codon recognition, and the 3' end, to which the tRNAs corresponding amino acid is attached (by aminoacyl-tRNA synthetases). tRNAs cope with the degeneracy of the genetic code in two manners: having more than one tRNA (with a specific anti-codon) for a particular amino acid; and 'wobble' base-pairing, i.e. permitting non-standard base-pairing at the 3rd anti-codon position. Lineage: Eukaryota; Viridiplantae; Streptophyta; Magnoliopsida; Solanales; Convolvulaceae. The record is from Rfam by way of RNAcentral.